GUAAGCACUUUCAGUCGUGAGGAAGGUGGUGUCGUUAAUAGCUGCAUCAUUUGACGUUAGCGACAGAAGAAGCACCGGCUUACUCCGUGCCAGCAGCCGCGGUAAUACGGAGGGUGCGAGCGUUAAUCGGAAUUACUGGGCGUAAAGCGCAUGCAGGUGGUUUGUUAAGUCAGAUGUGAAAGCCCACGGCUCAACCUGGGAAUAGCAUUUGAAACUGGCAGACUAGAGUACUGUAGAGGGGGGUUAAAAUCCAGGGUGUAGCGGUGAAAUGCGUAGAGAUCUGAUAGGAAUACCGGUGGCGAAGGCGGCCCCCUGGACAGAUACUGACACUCAGAUGCGAACAGCGUGGGGGAGCAAACAGGAUUAGAUACCGUGGUAGUCCACGCCGUAAACGAUGUCUACUUGGAGGUUGUGGCCUUGAGCCGUGGCUUUCGGAGCUAACGCGUUAAGUAGACCGCCUGGGGAGUACGGUCGCAAGAUUAAAACUCAAAUGAAUUGACGGGGGCCCGCACAAGCGGUGGAGCAUGUGGUUUAAUUCGAUGCAACGCGAAGAACCUUACCUACUCUUGACAUCCAGAGAACUUUCCAGAGAUGGAUUGGUGCCUUCGGGAACUCUGAGACAGGUGCUGCAUGGCUGUCGUCAGCUCGUGUUGUGAAAUGUUGGGUUAAGUCCCGCAACGAGCGCAACCCUUAUCCUUGUUUGCCAGCGAGUAAUGUCGGGAACUCCAGGGAGACUGCCGGUGAUAAACCGGAGGAAGGUGGGGACGACGUCAAGUCAUCAUGGCCCUUACGAGUAGGGCUACACACGUGCUACAAUGGCGCAUACAGAGGGCGGCCAACUUGCGAAAGUGAGCGAAUCCCACAAAGUGCGUCGUAGUCCGGAUUGGAGUCUGCAACUCGACUCCAUGAAGUCGGAAUCGCUAGUAAUCGUGGAUCAGAAUGCCACGGUGAAUACGUUCCCGGGCCUUGUACACACCGCCCGUCACACCAUGGGAGUGGGCUGCAAAAGAAGUAGGUAGUUUAACCUUCGGGGAACAGC
Molecule: ribosomal RNA, 1039 nt
Filed under: Vibrio alginolyticus
Lineage: Bacteria; Pseudomonadati; Pseudomonadota; Gammaproteobacteria; Vibrionales; Vibrionaceae
Description: bacterial SSU rRNA
Rfam family: Bacterial small subunit ribosomal RNA
Source: RNAcentral